AGUGAACGCUGGCGGUAGGCCUAACACAUGCAAGUCGAACGGCAGCACAGUAAGAGCUUGCUCUUACGGGUGGCGAGUGGCGGACGGGUGAGGAAUACAGCGGAAUCUACUUUUUCGGGGGGGAUAACGUAGGGAAACUUACGCUAAUACCGCAUACGACCUACGGGUGAAAGCAGGGGAUCUUCUGACCUUGCGCGAUUGAAUGAGCCGAUGUCGGAUUAGCUAGUUGGCGGGGUAAAGGCCCACCAAGGCGACGAUCCGUAGCUGGUCUGAGAGGAUGGACAGGCACACUGGCACUGAGACACGGUCCAGACUUCUAAGGGAGGCAGCAGUGGGGAAUAUUGGACAAUGGGCGAAAGCCUGAUACAGCCCUACCGCGUGGGUGAAGAAGGCGUUCGGGUUGUAAAGCCCAUUUGUUGGGCAAGAAAAGAAGCAGGUUAAUACCCCGCUGUUCUGACGGUACCCAAAGAAUAAGCACCGGCUAACUUCGUG
Molecule: ribosomal RNA, 492 nt
Filed under: uncultured bacterium
Lineage: Bacteria
Description: partial 16S ribosomal RNA
Rfam family: Bacterial small subunit ribosomal RNA
Source: RNAcentral